GACGAACGCUGGCGGCGUGCCUAAUACAUGCAAGUAGAACGCUGAAGAGAGGAGCUUGCUCUUCUUGGAUGAGUUGCGAACGGGUGAGUAACGCGUAGGUAACCUGCCUUGUAGCGGGGGAUAACUAUUGGAAACGAUAGCUAAUACCGCAUAACAAUGGAUGACACAUGUCAUUUAUUUGAAAGGGGCAAUUGCUCCACUACAAGAUGGACCUGCGUUGUAUUAGCUAGUAGGUGAGGUAAUGGCUCACCUAGGCGACGAUACAUAGCCGACCUGAGAGGGUGAGCGGCCACACUGGGACUGAGACACGGCCCAGACUCCUACGGGAGGCAGCAGUAGGGAAUCUUCGGCAAUGGGGGCAACCCUGACCGAGCAACGCCGCGUGAGUGAAGAAGGGUUUCGGAUCGUAAAGCUCGGUUGUAAGUCAAGAACGGGUGUGAGAGUGGAAAGUUCACACUGUGACGGUAGCUUACCAGAAAGGGACGGCUAGCUACGUG
This 497-nucleotide ribosomal RNA is filed under the name uncultured bacterium. RNAcentral's name for it is "partial 16S ribosomal RNA". It matches the Rfam family "Bacterial small subunit ribosomal RNA", at positions 28 to 507 of the family's 1533-position model. The record is from RNAcentral.